Molecule: small nuclear RNA, 145 nt
Organism: Mustela lutreola (European mink)
Lineage: Eukaryota; Metazoa; Chordata; Mammalia; Carnivora; Mustelidae
Product: U4 spliceosomal RNA
Exons: 1
Source: RefSeq, a predicted model, not a curated record
AGCUUUGUGCAGUGGCAGUAUGGUAGCCAAUGAGGUUUAUCCGAGGCGCGAUUAUUGCUGAUUGAAAACUAUAUUGUACACCUGAAACUAAUAUACCACUGUAUGUUAACUCUACCUGAAUUAAAAUAAACAAUAAAAAAGUUUU